RNAcentral lists this transfer RNA (69 nucleotides) under Melanocharis arfakiana. RNAcentral describes it as "tRNA-Val". The record is from RNAcentral. Lineage: Eukaryota; Metazoa; Chordata; Aves; Passeriformes; Melanocharitidae.
CAAGACGUAGCUUUAAUAAAAGCACUCAGCUUACGCCUGAAAGAUGUCUGUUAAACCAGAUCGUCUUGA